RNAcentral lists this ribosomal RNA (446 nucleotides) under uncultured bacterium. RNAcentral describes it as "partial 16S ribosomal RNA". It matches the Rfam family "Bacterial small subunit ribosomal RNA", at positions 338 to 795 of the family's 1533-position model. The record is from RNAcentral.
CCUACGGGUGACAGCAGUCGAGAAUCAUUCACAAUGGGGGAAACCCUGAUGGUGCGACGCCGCGUGGGGGAAUGAAGGUCUUCGGAUUGUAAACCCCUGUCAUGUGGGAGCAAAUUAAAAAGAUAGUACCACAAGAGGAAGAGACGGCUAACUCUGUGCCAGCAGCCGCGGUAAUACAGAGGUCUCAAGCGUUGUUCGGAAUCACUGGGCGUAAAGCGUGCGUAGGCUGUUUCGUAAGUCGUGUGUGAAAGGCGCGGGCUCAACCCGCGGACGGCACAUGAUACUGCGAGACUAGAGUAAUGGAGGGGGAACCGGAAGUCUCGGUGUAGCAGUGAAAUGCGUAGAUAGCGAGAGGAACACUCGUGGCGAAGGCGGCCGCCUGGCCUGUUACUGACGCUGAGGCACGAAAGCGUGGGGAGCAAAUAGGAUUAGAUACCCCAGUAGUC